Molecule: long non-coding RNA, 104 nt
Organism: Cebus imitator (Panamanian white-faced capuchin)
Lineage: Eukaryota; Metazoa; Chordata; Mammalia; Primates; Cebidae
Exons: 3
Source: RefSeq, a predicted model, not a curated record
GGAGCAGGAAGGCCCUGCAGUGCAGAUCCGCCCAGUGGCUGAACACCAAGGAGGAAAGGGUAUUUGAGAUGUCCAGACUCCUGAAUCUGAUACUGGUGUAUCUG